RNAcentral lists this ribosomal RNA (1232 nucleotides) under uncultured Micromonas. RNAcentral's name for it is "partial Bacterial large subunit ribosomal RNA". It matches the Rfam family "Bacterial large subunit ribosomal RNA", at positions 1593 to 2906 of the family's 2925-position model. The record is from RNAcentral. Lineage: Eukaryota; Viridiplantae; Chlorophyta; Mamiellophyceae; Mamiellales.
AUAGUAAGUAGGUAUCCAGGAAAAUUCAUAAAUAUAUUGACCGUACCCUAAACCGACACAGGUGAACGAGUCGAAUAGACUCAGGUGAUGAGAGAACCACAUUGAAGGAACUCGGCAAAAUAUUCCCGUACCUUAGGAAGAAGGGAAGCCAAAAAUGGUGACACAAAAAUGGGGGUGACGACUUUUUACUAAAAAAUUAGGACUCUGCUAAAUGGUAACAUGACGUAUAGGGUCUGACGUCUGCCCGGUGCUAGAAGUAUAAAAGGAGUGUUGAAAGAUACGAAUGGAAAGCCUAGUAAACGGCGGUUGUAACAAUAACAAUCAUAAAGUAGCGAAAUUCAUUGCCAGCUAAUUCCUGGCCUGCAUGAAAGACGUAACGAUUGCCCCACUGUCUCCAGUGUGGACUCAGUGAAAUUGAAUUCUCCGUGCAGAUGCGGAGUACGUGCCCCAAGACGAGAAGACCCUGUGCAUCUUUACUGUACAUUUACAUUGACAAAACCAUACGUAUGUGUAGGAUAGGUGGGAGUACAAACAUCCUUGAAAUACCACCCUUACUAUGUUUUUUGUCUAACAUCGGAGAUAGACAAUGUAUGUGAGGCAGUUUGACUGGGGCGGUCGCCUCCUAAAGAGUAACGGAGGCGUGCGAAGGUAAACUCAAUGUAGAUCGGAAACCUACUGAAGAGCGUAAUGGUAUAUGUUUGCCUGACUGCAAGAUUUACAGAUCGAGCAGAGACGAAAGUCGGUCAUAAUGAUCCACAAGUACUGCGUGGAAAGGCUUGUGCUUAACGAAUCAAAGAUACGCCAGGGAUAACAGGCUGAUAAUUCCCUAGAGUCCAUAUCGACGGAAUUGUUUGGCACCUCGAUGUUGACUGAUCAUAUCCUGGGGCUGAAGAAGGUCCCAAGGGUUCGGCUGUUCGCCGAGUAACAUGGUACCUGAGUUGAGUUUAGAACGUCGUGAGACAGUUUGGAUUCUACCUGGGGUGCGCGUAAGAAUUGAGAAAACCACAUCCUUGUACGAGAGGACCGGAUGUGUACAACCUCUGGUAUAGUAAUUGUCCGGCCACGGGCAUGGUUACUACGCUACGUUGUGAAAGGAUAAGUACUGAAAGCAUAUCAAGUACGAAACUUUUUUCAAGACAUAUUCUUUAUCGUAUUGUAUAUCGUACAAGUUGAGUACGUUAAUAGAUAAGCUGUGUAUUAUUUGUAAAAAUAGAAGCAUCCUUAUACUAAAC